RNAcentral lists this long non-coding RNA (4053 nucleotides) under Sus scrofa (pig). RNAcentral's name for it is "lncRNA (ENSSSCG00060028249.1)". The record is from RNAcentral. Lineage: Eukaryota; Metazoa; Chordata; Mammalia; Artiodactyla; Suidae.
ACAGUGAGCGGCUGGGACGUCGGCGGCGGCGGCGGCCUUGGAGACAACGUUCUCCUCACGUGCUGGGGGCUGGGCUCCGGAAAUGCCCUUUGGGGUUUAAAUUGUCCUGGCUCCCGUUAGCGUCGUGCCCGGCACGUUUUAUUUUCCUGUUUAAUCCUCACGGCCAGACCCCGAGAGACCUUCUUAUCCCCACGGCCCAGAUGACAAGACCAAGGCCUAAGGAGCCAUGGAAGAUGCUCACGCUUGCGUAACAGUAUUGCCCGGAGCCAAAUCCAGGUCUCCAGACUCUGAAUGCUGUGCUCUCCCGCUAGAAACAGCCAUAGAACUCGAUCCCAAGGCGCAACCUGGAGAUAUUGUGAAGAACCUUCUUGAUGUUGCUCUGAGCAAUGAAAGACGACCCAGUGGCCACUGCAGAGACAACUCCUGGCCCUGGCAGUCUUCAUUCUUCAUUGGCAUCAUUUUCCCAUACUGCGGCCUUCACACCCACUGGCCCUCCCUAAGAAAUAACCUGCUUCCUCCAGGGGUUUAACAGGAAGAUGACUGUCUGGACCUGCCAUCCUUACAAAAACACACCUCAUUCUUUUUCUGGACUUGCCAAAUUCUAGAAUGUCAGUGCUGAAAAAGACCUUGCAGGCCAUUUGGUCCCAGUGUAACAAACUUGUCUUCAAUCAUGGGCUGCCUCCGCCUGAAGCAGUGGAUAAAGCUGAGUCAGAGCUCAGCUGGCAGACAUUUGUUACAGGGUGCAAGGAGAAGGUGUAGGCCACCAUGUGAGGUAACAUGCCACCUCCAGCCCAGCUGUCCCUGCUCCUGCAGACGGGCUUACCAAUGAUGGUCACACUGCCGGGGAACAUAACUGACUUUAGGGGAAGGGGAUGAAGAUACGAUGCCUGGCACACAAAGAAUUGCCCAUGUCCACAGGACUGAACCAACUACAGGUAAAAAAAUAUUAAAAGUGCCUGCAGGAGUUCCCUGGCGGCCUAGAGGUUAAAGAUCCGGCUAUAUCACUGCCAUGUUAUGGGCUGGAUCUCUCGCCCAGUAAUCUAUGCAUGCCAUGGAUGUGCCUGCAUAAAGCCAUUAAAUGAUUAAAUGGAACAAAAACAUUAUCUAAAGUAAUUUAGUAAUCUACCCCUGUGCAUUUGGACUACUGUUUUACCUGUUACUCUUCUAUCAAAAGAUAUAUACUAUUUAAUACUUGAACAAUGUUUUAGGUGCCAAGAAGUGUUUCGAGCACAUUUUGGGUAUUAAUUCACUUAAACCUUCAUAACCCCAUGGGAUAGUUUUUACUCCCCACCCCUGCCCCACGUUGUGAGUUAUUUUUGCCAUUACAGUUUUAAGGCCCAGCUCAUUUGUGAAAUUAUACUUCCUCAUUUCUCCCAUUCAGCAAUCUUGGCAUGUUAUCCCUACUUCAUUUAAGCUUAUUUCCGUCUCUCUCCUAUCAUAAUUACUGGUCUAUCAUUACUUCCUGGCUCCAGUUUUUAUUGUCUACAUGUGCCUUCACUUUUUUAUAGGACAGGUAUGGAAUGGCUUCAGGUGGGUACAAGCAUCUGACUUGUCUCUUAGCAGUCAUCCCUAACAGAAAUACAUACUACUUUAUAAACUGCCUUCCUUUUAUUUUGUGUAUCAUGGUUAAGGCUUCAUCUUGAUUUUUCUUUUGGCCACACUUGUGGCAUGCAAAAGCUUCUAGGCCACAGAUCAUACCCAUACCACAGCAGUGACAAUGCCAGACAGAUCCUUAAUGCUAGGCCACCAGGGAGCUCUUCAUCUUGAUUUUUUUUAAAAUAAUUAACAUAAAAAAUGGAGUUCCCGCUCUAGAGCAGUGGGUUAAAAAUCCAACUGCAAUGACUCAGGUCACGGUAGAAGUGCAGGUUCGGUACCCAGCCCCGUGUGGUGGGUUUAAGGAUCCCACUUGUCACAGCUGCAACUCAGAUUCAAUCCCUGGCCUAGGAACUGUGUGCCACAGGCGUGGCCAUUAAAAAGGGGAAAAAAAAAGAUUUCAUUUCAGAAUAGUCAGAGAUCAUUACAAAAUUUUCUUUACAAAAAGGGGGCCCAAGGGGUUAUGAGGGUUGAGAUCACUUUCCCUGUCUGAGCUUCUUCAGUAAAUGAGAUAACCCCAACAUCAGAGCUGAUGAGAAAAAGCACCACAUGUGUGCUCAGAACAUGGUAAUUCAGUUUUAGUUCCCAGCCUGGUGUCUUACCUUUUCUGUCCCAUACCUUGCUCAAGGGAUAUCCCCAACACAAGCACCAUGAACUUAAGGAGUAAGGAAGCAUUUUCUGAUGAAAACAAUCACAUCCGGCUGCUAGGUGACACAGAAACCAGUCUAGAUGAUGCACUUAUAAACUCUCCCACUCACCUUAGAAUUAUUCCAAAUCUUUUGAGGAAAGGAAUGGAGCAUUCAUCCAGGUUAACAGACUGCAGCUGCUGAAGGCAGUUCAACAGCUUAAAUUUAAGUGACCACUCAAAUAUUCCCAUUUAAUUUAGACCAUUUUCCCCCCCUCCAGCAACUAAGAAAUGCUGCAGACUCCUAACUACAGCCACUGGUUUUGAAACCAGAGGAGGUAGGUGCUUUCAUGAAUCUCUGUCUGACCAUAGAAUUCUUAGGUGUUCACCAUAACAGAGUCCAUUUGGGGAAAAAGGAAAAAUAGUUGGAAAAAUAGUUGAAAAUAGUUGAAAAAGUUAACUAAAAAAACCCCAUCAAACAUAAAUGUUAAAAGUUCGGUGUGUACCAGUCCUUAUGUAAAAUGUAAUACUCAGUAGUGCUGCUAUCACGUUCCCCAAAGGGUUAAAACUGGGGUGAUGUCAAGACCAGGAAACUGGAAUAGCCAUAGCAACGAGUCACGGGUUUGAAGGCUGCCCAUGACUCAAGGUUAACAGUGAACAAAGACACUUGUUAUCAACCCGUUCAAAUUAGCACAGCUUUGUCCUCCUUGACAAUGACAUUUUAAGUCACAUUAAAUUAAGCAUCACUAAGCAUCAGGAUAAAGCCAGGUAGGCCUUUGCCAAGAAAUAUCUUGACUACUUAACAAGUGGUACCUGCCCAGAUGAUGACAUGUGGAUUUCAGUAGAACAUAACAUCUCAGAAGUGCAUGCUUCAGAUAUGUAAUAAGAGAAAAGCUAAAGGACACAUGACUUCCAUUUAUUUCUAGCUGUAUAAAUACCUGCUCAUUACAGUAUGCCUAACUUUCUAGAAAACAAAAAUUCAACACGUUACCUCAAGAAAGGAAGAAAUAAUUAUUUCCCAGUAUACAUACAAUUUACACUUUUUACCAUGAGCAUGUUUUAGAACUAGAGACAACUAAAUCCUGUCAUUAAGUGACAAUGAAAUGGUACCUUAUGAUUGGGUUAUAAAAAUGCAGAACAGAAAACAAAGGCUUUGGAGACAAGUAUGUUCUCAGAUCUUCCUCAGCUUACACCUUGAUAUACCAGUCAUAAAUUGAAAAUAUCUUAAGUUAAAAACACUAUACUACACCUAACCUACCCAACAUUAAGCUUAGCCUAGCUUACCUUAAAUAUGCUCAGAACACUUAGAUUAACCUACAGCUGGGCAAAACUAUCCAACAAAAUGUUGAAUAUCUCAUGUAAUUUACUGAAUACAGAGUGAAAAGCAGAAUAGUUAGGUCCAGAAGAAGAAUACUAGUUUACUCUUGUGAUUGCAUGGCUGCCUGGGAGCCAUGCCUUAGCUUGUUGCCCCUGCCCAAGCACCAAGAGUUUUGUGCUGCCCGCCACUAGCCAAGGAAAAGAUCAAAAUUGAAAGUUUCUGGAGUUCCCAUUGUGGCCGAGUGGGUUAAGGAGCUAACUACUAUCCAUGAGGAUGCAGGUUUGAUCUCUGACCUCACUCAGUGGGUUAAGGGUCCACACUGCCACAAAGUGCAGCAUAGGUUGCAGAUGUGGGUGGGAUACUGCAUUGCUGUGGCUGUGGUGUGUAGGCUGGCAGCUCCAAUUCAAUCCCCAACCUGGAACUUCCACAUGCUGCAGGUGUGACCCUAAAAAAGAAAAAAAAAAUUGGUUUCCAGAGUUGCUUUCACACCAUUAUUAGGUCAAAACAAACAAAAAAA